GAUGAACGCUGGCGGCGUGCCUAAUACAUGCAAGUCGAGCGAACAGACGAGGAGCUUGCUCCUCUGACGUUAGCGGCGGACGGGUGAGUAACACGUGUAUAACCUACCUAUAAGACUGGGAUAACUUCGGGAAACCGGAGCUAAUACCGGAUAAUCUAUUGAACCGCAUGGUUCAAUAGUGAAAUACGGUUUUGCUGUCACUUAUAGAUGGAUCCGCGCCGCAUUAGCUAGUUGGUAAGGUAACGGCUUACCAAGGCAACGAUGCGUAGCCGACCUGAGAGGGGGAUCGGCGACACGAGAACUGAGACACGGUCAAGACUCCUACGGGAGGCAGCAGUAGGGAAUCUUCCGCAAUGGGCGAAAGCCUGACGGAGCAACGCCGCGUGAGUGAUGAAGGUCUUGGGAUCGUAAAACUCUGUUAUUAGGGAAGAACAAAUGUGUAAGUAACUAUGCACGUCUUGACGGUACCUAAUCAGAAAGCCACGGCUAACUACGUG
RNAcentral lists this ribosomal RNA (497 nucleotides) under uncultured bacterium. RNAcentral describes it as "partial 16S ribosomal RNA". It matches the Rfam family "Bacterial small subunit ribosomal RNA", at positions 28 to 507 of the family's 1533-position model. The record is from RNAcentral.